This is a long non-coding RNA of Prunus avium (sweet cherry), 1097 nucleotides long. RefSeq lists it as uncharacterized. Lineage: Eukaryota; Viridiplantae; Streptophyta; Magnoliopsida; Rosales; Rosaceae. The record is from RefSeq and is a predicted model, not a curated record.
UCUCACUUCUUCAUCACAAACUUCUUCUUCCCAUUAACCAACCCCAAUUUUUCUCACACGGACAAAAACACAAAUACAAAACAAACACUCUGUUCCCCUCUGAUCUCUCUGCCUCUCAGAGCCGUGGAUGAAGAAUACAACGUCAUAGUGCUCGGAACGGGCCUCAAAGAAUGCAUUCUCAGCGUCCUCCUCACCUCUCAGUGGACGGUCUCAAGGUACUGCAUAUGGAUAGGAAUGACUACUAUGGAGGAGAGUCCACCUCUCUUAAUCUCAACCAGAUAUAAUUAUAUACAUGUAUAUUGUUAUUUAGAGAGAGAGGGAGGGAGAGAAAGGCAAAGUGUACAAGCAAUCCAAGCCUUGAGUGUUGGUCAUUUGAGCUGCUUGUAUCUUGCUCUCUGGUCUUUUACUAAAUCCAGCUCUUUCCUUCUUCUUUUUUUGUCAAAAAAUUCGGCUCCUUCUGUUCUGUCUAUAAGGUCAGCUGCCACUUGUGGACAUUGUUUUUACUCUUUGUAGAUCGAUUGAAAUUCUAAGUGAGCAGUUGUUAGGGGAAAUCUCAAGAGCCUUGAAGCCUCUGAUUCUUCCACAGGGGAAAGGCAUAAGACCACCUAUGUAAUUCAGCACAACCUACUACUGUCUAGUUUUCUAGAAGCACAAGCUCUUCAGAUGAAAUCAAAUUUAUCAUAUGAGUUGUUCUUUCGGGCUAAAAAGUUUGAAGAUUGGUUCAUCAAAAGACCAUGAGAAGUUUACCAAAAGUUCAGAUCAAUGAUGGUAUUUGAUUGAUGAAGAUAGUCUGUUGACACAGAAAAGGACCUAAAGAAACCCAGCUGCUUCUAUGUAAAGCAUCCUGGUUCUAAUUAUUUAUUUAUGUUUUUGUGAUUUGUUUAUAGUGUUUUGUCAACUUUGUGAGAUUUUUUGGGGUUAACUACAAUUUUUGUGAUUUUUUAACCAUAAACUGAGCAAGCUGCAAAAUUGUGAGUUGGAAGCACAAGGAAAGCUUGUAAAAAUUGAAAUGGUGUUGGAGCUCAUGCUGCUGUCAAGCCUUUUGUAUGUGCUAGAUGUAUGUGUGCAGCAUGUUGAUCAUGCUGUCAAGCCUUUUU